This 90-nucleotide small nucleolar RNA is filed under the name Choloepus hoffmanni (Hoffmann's two-fingered sloth). RNAcentral describes it as "Small nucleolar RNA SNORD11B (ENSCHOG00000014840.1)". It matches the Rfam family "Small nucleolar RNA SNORD11". The record is from RNAcentral. Lineage: Eukaryota; Metazoa; Chordata; Mammalia; Pilosa; Megalonychidae.
AAGUGUUCAAUGAUGACUUUUUGUUUGUUUGCCUGACUUCUUGUUGGAUAAUGAAGGCAUUUUUAAGUCACUACCUCUUCUGAGACACUU